Molecule: ribosomal RNA, 437 nt
Filed under: uncultured bacterium
Lineage: Bacteria
Description: bacterial SSU rRNA
Rfam family: Bacterial small subunit ribosomal RNA
Source: RNAcentral
GCAUAACGCGAAGAACCUUACCCAGGCUUGAACUGCAGAGGACACUCUACGAAAGUAGACUUCCGCAAGGACCUCUGUAGAGGUGCUGCAUGGCUGUCGUCAGCUCGUGUCGUGAGAUGUUGGGUUAAGUCCCGCAACGAGCGCAACCCUUGUCUUCUGUUGCCAUCAGGUCAAGCUGGGCACUCUGAAGAGACUGCCGGUGACAAACCGGAGGAAGGUGGGGAUGACGUCAAGUCAGCAUGGCCUUUAUGUCUGGGGCCACACACGUGCUACAAUGGCAGGUACAAACCGUCGCGAGACCGCAAGGUGGAGCUAAUCGGAUAAAGCCUGUCUCAGUUCGGAUUGUCGGCUGCAACUCGCCGGCAUGAAGUUGGAAUCGCUAGUAAUCGCGGAUCAGCACGCCGCGGUGAAUACGUUCCCGGGUCUUGUACACACCG